GAUGAACGCUGGCGGCGUGCUUAACACAUGCAAGUCGAACGAAGCACCUUAUUCUGAUUUCUUCGGAAUGAAAAAUUUGGUGACUGAGUGGCGGACGGGUGAGUAACGCGUGGGUAACCUGCCUCAUACAGGGGGAUAACAGUUAGAAAUGACUGCUAAUACCGCAUAAGACCACAGCACCGCAUGGUGCAGGGGCAAAAACUCCGGUGGUAUGAGAUGGACCCGCGUCUGAUUAGGCAGUUGGUGGGGUAACGGCCUACCAAGCCGACGAUCAGUAGCCGACCUGAGAGGGUGACCGGCCACAUUGGGACUGAGACACGGCCCAAACUCCUACGGGAGGCAGCAGUGGGGAAUAUUGCACAAUGGGGGAAACCCUGAUGCAGCGACGCCGCGUGAGCGAUGAAGUAUUUCGGUAUGUAAAGCUCUAUCAGCAGGGAAGAAA
RNAcentral lists this ribosomal RNA (442 nucleotides) under uncultured bacterium. Its description in RNAcentral is "bacterial SSU rRNA". It matches the Rfam family "Bacterial small subunit ribosomal RNA", at positions 28 to 450 of the family's 1533-position model. The record is from RNAcentral.